Small nuclear RNA from Sorex araneus (European shrew), 159 nucleotides. Its record names the gene U1. It matches the Rfam family "U1 spliceosomal RNA". Rfam says of the family: U1 is a small nuclear RNA (snRNA) component of the spliceosome (involved in pre-mRNA splicing). Its 5' end forms complementary base pairs with the 5' splice junction, thus defining the 5' donor site of an intron. NCBI's taxonomy places the organism in Eukaryota, Metazoa, Chordata, Mammalia, Eulipotyphla, Soricidae. The record is from Ensembl.
AUCCUUACCUAGCAGGGAGCCGCCAUGAUCACGAAGGUGGUUUUCCCAGGGUGGAACUUAUCCAUUGCACUUGGGAUGUGCUGACCCCUGAGAUUUCCCCAAAUGUGGGAAACUCGACUGUAUAAUUUGUGAUAGUCGGGGACUGCAUUCUAUCCCUGA